This 160-nucleotide ribosomal RNA is filed under the name uncultured bacterium. RNAcentral describes it as "partial 16S ribosomal RNA". It matches the Rfam family "Bacterial small subunit ribosomal RNA", at positions 338 to 511 of the family's 1533-position model. The record is from RNAcentral.
CCUACGGGAGGCAGCAGUAGGGAAUAUUGCACAAUGGAGGAAACUCUGAUGCAGCCAUGCCGCGUGUGUGAAGAAGGCCUUCGGGUUGUAAAGCACUUUUCGGAGGGGAGGAAGAAAUGACGUUUACCCUCAGAAGAAGCACCGGCUAACUCCGUGCCAG